RNAcentral lists this long non-coding RNA (2846 nucleotides) under Homo sapiens (human). RNAcentral's name for it is "HSALNT0318139". The record is from RNAcentral. Lineage: Eukaryota; Metazoa; Chordata; Mammalia; Primates; Hominidae.
GCUAUGUUGCCCAGGCUGGCCUUGAACUCUUGGGUUCAUGCAGUCCUCCCACCUCAGCCUCCCAAAGUGCUGGCAUGACAGCUGCGAGCCAUGGCGUCUGACCCCCGAUGUUUCUAUUUAAAGUUAUUUCUAUGGUUUUAUACAAAAGGUCACAUGCAGUCCACACUGUUCUGCCGUUGACUUUCUGCAGUGUACCCUGGUGCCUCUCCAUUGGGUAUAUCUGCCUGAUUAUUGGCAGCAGCCGUGUGGCAUUCCGUGGCAGCGCCGCACUCAUCACACCUGAGCAGUGAGAAUAAAUGGGCAUCUUCUCUGAAGGCACCUCAGCUCUGCAGCACCACGGGGCGGCGCUGCCACGGGCCCAGACCCUGCCCUCUGAGUUCCAAGUCAGUCCCAGAGCGCAGAUCCCAGGCUGAGGAUGUGCCAGGAGGUGCCUGGCCCUGGAAGUGUCCACCCUUCAUCUUACUGGGAGACUGGCGCUCCGUGGCCCUUUGGGGCAGGCCCCAGUUUGUCGAGCAGCUGCAGCUCUGACUAGUGAGGCACAAGGGAGCUCUGCUGAGGCCUCUGGGGUCCCCACGCUGGGAAGUUCUCCCUGCAGGGGACACCUGGUGUAGAAGCCCCGAGGGAGCAGCCAGGAGCCCAGCACUGAGGGUGGUGGAGCAGGUAGAUGGAAAGAACUCUCUUCCCAAAGACAAGCCGCAGAGCCGCAUCCCUUCCCCAGCCCCUGUGUUAGGCCGUGAGGCAUCUUCCUGCCAGGCUGCACCAGGGCUUUCAGGUUUUGUUGCUCAGCACAUCCAGGGUCAUGCACUUCAGGACAAGCCACCUGAUGCCCCUCGGCCCCCCAGUCCUGCAGCCUCGCUGGAGCUCUCCCUGCAGCAGGAAGGGCUGAGGCCAACCACAAAGGGGCUUGGGGCGACAUCAAGGGAUGGCAGAGCGAGAGGGAAGUGCAGGGAGCCUGGCCCAGAAGACCAGCCCUGCCGCCGCCUCCUGGAAGGGGCACACCUCCUGAGCUAAGCCCAGGAUGCCGCCCAAGCCUCGGGGCCUCCCAAGGUGUCCCCCAUGCCAGAGUGUGUGGCCUCUGCCAGGCCCAGGAUGGCUCCAGGUGGUUGGACUCCCAUUUCCUCUCCCCUUCCCAGGUCUUUCCCAAGCCCAGAGCCCCUGCUUUAGUUUUCCAGUGUGGGGAGACAGGAGAGUGGCCACAGAGCCUGGUUCUGCGCUUGGUGCUGCUGGACUCCAAACCUGGCUCUGGAGCUGCAGUCCUGGUGAGGGCGGUGGCCCUGGGGAAGAUGAGCUCCCCAACACUUGUUACGGCAGUUUCCAGUCACAAGCCGCAAGGACACAGUCUCAAAGGAGCAUCAGAUGGGGUUGGGGGCAUGUGGGGUGGCCCUGGCUCUCCCAGGUGGGGUCCUGCCAGGCCAAGAGCUAUGCUAAGUGGGGCCCACCAUGGCCAUAGGCCCCUCCGUGUCACCUGGCAUAAUCAGCUGGUAGAAACAGCCCUUGGGGACUACAUCACCUGACCUGAUCUCCAGGUUCCAGGUACCAUUUCUUACUGCCCCCCAGCAGCACUGUGCCCCUGUCCACAGGUCAUGUGACUGGGUGUCGGGCACGGUUCCCUUGCAGCAAUGAACAGUACAUCUGUGGAUGAAGGUGGGCAGAUAGAGGUUUGGCGGGGGGUGGAGCGGGGCACUGAUCAUGGCAGCCUGCUGUGGCCAGCCCCAAGGGCUUCCCGGUGACUUCUCAGAGCCUGAAUGUCUCCCCUGGACAGGUGGGAUCGAGGGAAUGCCAUGAAGGUGGGCAUGAGGGGGAAUCUCGCCAGGGGUACAGUGCGUCUACACUGCUUUUCAGACUAGUGCCACGCAGGCACUAGGUCUCACUGGCUGAGGGGCAGCCUCUGUCCCCAGGCGCCGCGACUUGCCCCAUCUGCUGCAGAGGAGGCCCACCUGUGGUGAGCAUUGUGGUCUUGGGGCCUGCAGGCGCCCUUGUGGAGUUACCAUGGUGACCGCAGCCCCUUGGACUGGUGCUGGGGAUUCAGACACCAGGUCACGUAGGCCUUGGCUCGUGGCAUGGCCAAGCCCUGGGGUCUGUCGGGGUUGGCAGGGCAGGCUUCCUGGAGGAGGGGCUGAGGCCGCGUAUUCUCCCUCUCAUCCUGCCAUCCGCUGCGGCUACUCUCCAGGGCCACAACUGUCACAGAACGAGGAACCCGGGCCUUGUGCAGAAGAGCCUUGUGUAGGUGGAUUGAGAAGAGAGUCCCAGAGGAGAAGCUGAGCCCUCUGCUGACUUGCCCCCAGCUCAUUUCUGCUUGACCUUUCCUUGUUGCCGUUUUUGCUUGGAAACUAUAUUGUGGACCUCAUCAUUCUGGGAAAAGGUGGUUCACGAGAAAGCACAGUCAUGUGUCAAUUAACAGUGCAGAUGCAUUCUGAGAAAUGCGUUGUUAGGUGAUUUCAUCAUCCUGCAACAUCAGAGUGUGCCCCGCGCUCAUGGAUGAGACAGCCUGCCCCACACCCAGGCUGUGGGGGACGGGAUGGCCUGUUGCUUCUGGACCAGACGCCUGCACAGCACAUUAACUGUGCUGAAUGCUGUAGGCAGUUGUAACGCAAUGACCCUGUAUUCAGUGGAUCAGCUGGCACCACCCAAAUAGAUAAAUUGGCCCAUCUGGUCUUGUGGCCCCCACCCAGGAAUGGACUCAGCUCAAGAGGACAGCUUCAGCUCCCUAAGAUUUUAUCUUGGACCCGACCAAUCAGCACUCCCGACUUACUGGCCCUCUACUCACCAAGUUAUCCUUAAAAACCUCAAUCCCUGAGUUUUCAGAGAGACUGAUUUGAAUAAUAAUAAAACUCCGGUCUUCCACA